AGCCCCCCCCUUGUGUAAGCCCAUCAAAAAUCGCUUACGAAAGAAUAUAAGCCCAGUGCUUUUAGGUGGAGGUUUACAGUAGAUUGUCAAAAAAACUGCAGAACUGUAAGAUGGUGUCCAUGCAUAGGAUAUACUUAUGGUAUAAUCAAGUGAUAUAUAUAUAUGGUAUAAUAGUGACGAAAACACACGCAGUACAGGAAAACAGGGGUAGGGCCAAGACUGUACCACUACAAGUUCCCCAGCUCUAUCCUUACAAAUAAAAGAAAUGUCAGUAUUACACCAGACACCAAUAAACAAUUUUGCAGCUUCUGCUAAACAUUUUCUUUCAAUGUUUUUUAACCCAUUGAGUAUUGAGUGUCAGCACUCUCCCCCUGAUGAGUAAAUAGUCUAGUGUUGGACAGUAAAAUAAUCUGGCAUUAGGCAGAGUAAAAUAAUAGACAACUGGUUGAUCAUUUGAGCAUAGAUAACUGGUUGACCAGUAUAAAUCCUUGCAAUGCAUCACACAUUGCGAUAGUGUUGAAUUUACUCCAUUUCAUUCUUUACAACAAUGCUACCACUGGGCGCUUCUUCCAUCAUUCAGUGUGUAUGAAUGUCUGUCAGGGCAAACAAGAUUUAUUGGUAAAUUAAAACAGUUAC
This 636-nucleotide long non-coding RNA is filed under the name Paramuricea clavata. Lineage: Eukaryota; Metazoa; Cnidaria; Anthozoa; Malacalcyonacea; Plexauridae. The record is from RNAcentral.